CUACGGGAGGCUCCAGUGAGGAAUAUUGCACAAUGGGGGGGACCCUGAUGCAGCAACGCCGCGUGGAGGAUGACGCAUUUCGGUGUGUAAACUCCUUUUAUAUGUCAAGAAAAUGACGGUAGCAUAUGAAUAAGCACCGGCUAACUCCGUGCCAGCAGCCGCGGUAAUACGGCGGGUGCAAGCGUUACUCGGAAUCACUGGGCGUAAAGGACGCGUAGGCGGGUUGGAAAGUCAGGUGUGAAAUCCUACAGCUUAACUGUAGAACUGCACUUGAAACUUCUAAUCUAGAGUAUGGGAGGGGGAGAUGGAAUUAGUGGUGUAGGGGUAAAAUCCGUAGAUAUCACUAGGAAUACCUAAAGCGAAGGCGAUCUCCUGGAACAUUACUGACGCUAAGGCGUGAAAGCGUGGGGAGCAAACAGGAUUAGAUACCCUAGUAGUC
RNAcentral lists this ribosomal RNA (439 nucleotides) under uncultured bacterium. Its description in RNAcentral is "partial 16S ribosomal RNA". It matches the Rfam family "Bacterial small subunit ribosomal RNA", at positions 339 to 795 of the family's 1533-position model. The record is from RNAcentral.